RNAcentral lists this ribosomal RNA (253 nucleotides) under uncultured bacterium. Its description in RNAcentral is "partial 16S ribosomal RNA". It matches the Rfam family "Bacterial small subunit ribosomal RNA", at positions 524 to 776 of the family's 1533-position model. The record is from RNAcentral.
UACAGAGGUCCCAAGCGUUGUUCGGAUUCACUGGGCGUAAAGGGUGCGUAGGUGGCGAGGUAAGUCGGAUGUGAAAGCUCGGAGCUCAACUCCGAAAUGGCAUUGGAAACUACCUUGCUCGAGGGUUGGAGGGGGGACUGGAAUUCUCGGUGUAGCAGUGAAAUGCGUAGAUAUCGAGAGGAACACCAGUGGCGAAGGCGGUUCUCUGGGCAUGAUCUGACGCUGAGGAGCGAAAGUGUGGGGAGCGAACAGG